Molecule: transfer RNA, 73 nt
Filed under: Lachnospiraceae bacterium XBD2001
Lineage: Bacteria; Bacillati; Bacillota; Clostridia; Lachnospirales; Lachnospiraceae
Rfam family: tRNA
About the family: Transfer RNA (tRNA) molecules are approximately 80 nucleotides in length. Their secondary structure includes four short double-helical elements and three loops (D, anti-codon, and T loops). Further hydrogen bonds mediate the characteristic L-shaped molecular structure. tRNAs have two regions of fundamental functional importance: the anti-codon, which is responsible for specific mRNA codon recognition, and the 3' end, to which the tRNAs corresponding amino acid is attached (by aminoacyl-tRNA synthetases). tRNAs cope with the degeneracy of the genetic code in two manners: having more than one tRNA (with a specific anti-codon) for a particular amino acid; and 'wobble' base-pairing, i.e. permitting non-standard base-pairing at the 3rd anti-codon position.
Source: Rfam by way of RNAcentral
GGGGUAUUGGCGCAGCUGGGAGCGUGCCUCAAUGGCAUUGAGGAGGCCAUGGGUUCAAGUCCCAUAUGCUCCA